Molecule: long non-coding RNA, 237 nt
Filed under: Helianthus annuus (common sunflower)
Lineage: Eukaryota; Viridiplantae; Streptophyta; Magnoliopsida; Asterales; Asteraceae
Description: sRNA HanXRQr2_Chr15g0681081
Source: RNAcentral
UUGUUUGAGACCAACAAAGCAAACAAUGCGUUGUUGUGGGCAACUAUACAAGUCGACAGAGUUAUGGCCUGGGCUAAUAAGAUGAACGAAUGAAUGAGUACAGAUAUUUGACGAAGCCACGGCUAAAACUUCAUCACAGAUGAACCGCAAUUGCCAGUAUCUCAUCUGUUCGGAUGAACUGUUUGCUAAACCGUCGGCAGUAUUAAAUAGUGUUUGCAAUACAUCUCCACCAAAAUU